This is a long non-coding RNA of Andrographis paniculata, 3185 nucleotides long. RefSeq lists it as uncharacterized. The transcript is spliced from 5 exons. Lineage: Eukaryota; Viridiplantae; Streptophyta; Magnoliopsida; Lamiales; Acanthaceae. The record is from RefSeq and is a predicted model, not a curated record.
UUCCGUUUAAAUCCCCAUUCCUAAUUUCCAUUUGUCAAUUGUCUGACGGCGCCUUCUUCUUCGUUCGCCAUUUCGGAACUACCUGAUGUCGCCUCCUACAGCCACAAGCCAUGGCCGUAUCAAGAUUACCUGGUUUUCUUAACGAGAACAUCUCCAAUCAUUCCUUGUUCUUCAGAGAAGAUCAUGAGAUUCUUCUCCGAAGUCAACACUUAACAAGCUGCGUACAAAAAGAUGGAAGCCCCAUAGUUUAUCGCUACUCUCCAGAAAACCAUCUCAAGCCUGCGGAUGCUUGCCACUGUACCGAAUGCAGAGAUUUUCACAGGUAGGCUCUAAAUUCUUCGAAAAAGAUCCAGCAGAGUGGCUGAAUUGGAAGCUCUGAUGGCUCGGUUCCAAGCUAAAGUAGAGACAAAGGACGAGCUGAGGUCAUGAGAAGAAGUGUAAGAGGAAAGUGAUUUAAAGAAACAUUAUGACUGUGAUGAUAAUCAAUCAAGUUCAUGAAUUUUGUAGGGUAGAACAAGAAAGUCCAUGACUCUUUUGAAUUGGCAUCUGUAAGGAACCAGAAUAAGGUGAAUUCUGCUGCUUUGCCUUCUGCUCUGAAUCAGAUACAAUGGCUACCCAUGGUGAUAUGAUAUUCGAAUCUCGACAUUUUGAACCCAGAAUCUGAAUCUCAGAUGCCCAAGGAAGUUAGUAGAGUUCAAAUGAUGUUUGAAGAUGUGAAGACUAUUGAAGAAGCAUUAAGAUUGAAACCAGCUGGUGCUGCAAAAUUGUAUGAAUCUUUUCUGGUGGAGUUGAGGGAGUCCAAGGGCAGAGCAAAUACAAUGGAAGCGUUGGUCGGGAAGUUCCAGAAUGAUUGAUGUUAAGACUGUUAAUGAAUUGAGGGAUGAAUGCUUCCAGAGCAGAGCUCAAUGCAGAUUGAAACGCACACAAAGGUUUAUUUAACUAGUAUGAUUUGAAGCUGCAAGAAUCCAUAUAUGAACUUGAAGAAUUGGAUGCAAAACUGAUUGGGUUCUUGUAAGAACAGUUUGUACCAAGUGGGGCAAUGCAAUGAAUACAAACAAACUGAGAAAAACUGAAGUAGAUAGAACAAGAAUCAAGGAAUUCAAUAAGAGAGAUGGCAACAUGUUGAGGAAGAUCUUUCAGGUAUGUUCCGUCUUGCGGAGUCGAGCGUGUCGCUCUCGCUACUGGUUCAUCUCCUCGAAGACAAGUUCUGCAACCAUGGCAGCCUAUGCAGAUGAUGUGUUCGAUUGAAAAUUUCCUACCUGAAUUGCCUGAUGCUAUGGUGAUGGGUUCUUGGCUUGCAGCAGUAAAGAGGUCCAGGCUAGUCCUGUGAAUGAUUCAAGUGUUGUUUUAAUAUUCCAACCAAGUAAGCAAGCGUUUGGAUCCCAUUUCCGCAGCUUCUAGAUGGAUAUAUCAUUCAUGGUUAUCAGCAAGAGCCAGCCAACACAUGAAAAUUCAGAACAUAAAGUUGAUAAACAAGGUAACGACUAACAAGUUUGCAUGAAUGCUAGUAAGAAUAGUUGUGAACUCAUCAGUUCAGUGGGGCAGCCAGGAGGCUUCGGGUAGGAGUAUAUUUAUAUGAUGUUAUUAUAUUAAUCUCCUCAGAAGCCCAUCCGAUGCUGAUAGGAAAGAGAGCCCCCGUCGGAGGGUAGAGAUUUAUUCUUCAUUUUUAUUUUUUAGGGUAGAGAAUUAUUAUUAUUCAUUUUUCUUGGAUAGCUAUUUUGCUAAUCGGUUAAGUUAAUAAAUGUAUAAUAAUAAUCAUAACCUGAUUAAUUAGACUGAAAAUGGAAUGGGCUGGAUGAGCCUUGAUGGAAGCACGUGGGCUUGUCGGGUCACGGGUGAAAAUAUUGUGGCCCUGUCAGAUCGUUCGUGCCCGACAGGCGUUGACCAAUCGCACGUGGGUAUGUCCAGUCCCGACCAACAGCACGUGGCCCUGUCGGGUCUUUGCAGAGAGCAUGUGUAUCUGUCGGCACCUGACCAACCGCACUUGGGCCUGCGGGAUGGGCCUACACUAACAUUACAUUGGGCCGUGAGGGCCAUAACAACUGUUCGUGGAUCUGUCGGGAUCUGCACGGAUAGCACGUGCUUCUGUCGGCGUGUUUGCGACAUUCAGGUGCCUUAUAAAUGGGCCUGCUCCGACCUUACAAUUGGGCCGCGAGAGACGCGACAUUGGGCUAGAUGGGCCUUGACAGCUACACGUGGGUCUGUUGGUGUCUGGGCAGGCAGCAUGUGAUCCUGUCGGGUGUUCAGAGACAAUUUUUGGGCCUGUUAAAUGGGCUUCCGCUGACAUUACAUUGGGCUAUGUAGCCCAUACAGAAACAACAUUUGGGCCAAAUGGUCCAGGACCACUGCACGUGCGCUUCUGAUUUGGAGAGACAGACAGAUGUACUUUUGUCGACCGCUAGGCGACAGCUGAUGCGAUUGCACGUGAUUGGAAUCUAAUAAGCAGACAGCACGUGAUCUUGUCAGGUGUUAGGAGACAGCUAUUGGGCUUGUCAAAUAGGCUUGUGCUGACAUAAUAUUGGGCUAUACAGCCCACUCAGAAAAAACAUUGGGCCUGAUGGUCCAUGACAACUAGACGUGGGCUUUGGCAGACAGCAUGUGCUUCUGUCGGCUUCUGAGUACACGUGGAUAGGAUUUUAGGCAGACAGCACGUGUUCAUGUCGGCUCGUUGGACGCAAUGUUUGGGUCUGUCGAAUGGGCCUAUAUUGACAGUGUUGGCCUCAACUGAGCCUGGGCCAUAUUCAAUUGGGCCUUUUGGGCUUUGGGUAAACAGUAUGUUCUUUUGUCUGCUGUUGGAUAGUAAUCAUUGGGCCGGUUGGAGUUGGCCUGUGCAGGUAAUAUAUCAGGACGUAAGGGCUUAUUCUGCAGGAUGGGCUUUUUGACCAUGGCAAGUAGGUCCGUCGUGCCGUUGGCAGGCAGCACGUGGGCUUCUAGCGUCUCUGUCGACCUCACGUGGGCAUGUCUGUAAUGUAAGACAAGUGGGGCUAUUGAAUGGGCUUCUGCAACCUAAUAUUGGGCCAGAUGCUCAUUAUACACAGGGCGGGUCAAAUGGGAAUGGCUUUUAAAAAGCAUGCCAGCACUGGCACAAGACGUAGAUACUAUUUACAUUCACAUUUUUUAUAUAAUAUAUUUUUUAUGUAUCAACUGUACUUAUUUUAAAAAAGAAAAACGUCAAAUACAUUUAC